This 325-nucleotide ribosomal RNA is filed under the name Klebsiella pneumoniae. Its description in RNAcentral is "partial 23S ribosomal RNA". It matches the Rfam family "Bacterial large subunit ribosomal RNA", at positions 2618 to 2925 of the family's 2925-position model. Lineage: Bacteria; Pseudomonadati; Pseudomonadota; Gammaproteobacteria; Enterobacterales; Enterobacteriaceae. The record is from RNAcentral.
GUCGUGAGACAGUUCGGUCCCUAUCUGCCGUGGGCGCUGGAGAAUUGAGGGGGGCUGCUCCUAGUACGAGAGGACCGGAGUGGACGCAUCACUGGUGUUCGGGUUGUCAUGCCAAUGGCAUUGCCCGGUAGCUAAAUGCGGAAGAGAUAAGUGCUGAAAGCAUCUAAGCACGAAACUUGCCCCGAGAUGAGUUCUCCCUGAGACUUUAAGUCUCCUGAAGGAACGUUGAAGACGACGACGUUGAUAGGCCGGGUGUGUAAGCGCAGCGAUGCGUUGAGCUAACCGGUACUAAUGAACCGUGAGGCUUAACCUUACAACGCCGAAG